Molecule: unclassified non-coding RNA, 332 nt
Filed under: soil metagenome
Description: partial contains 5.8S ribosomal RNA, internal transcribed spacer 2, and large subunit ribosomal RNA
Rfam family: 5.8S ribosomal RNA (bases 1-120)
Source: RNAcentral
GAUGAAGAACGUAGCGAAAUGCGAUAAGUAGUGUGAAUUGCAGAAUUCAGUGAAUCAUCGAAUCUUUGAACGCACAUUGCGCCCGCUAGUAUUCUGGCGGGCAUGCCUGUUCGAGCGUCAUUUCAACCAUCAAGCCCUAGGCUUGCGUUGGAGCCCUGCGGCUGCCGCAGGCUCCCAAAUCCAGUGGCGGGCUCGUCGUCGUACCGAGUGCAGUAAACAUCCUCGCUCAGGGAACGUGACGGGUUCUUGCCGUGAAACCCCCCACAUAUCAAGGUUGACCUCGGAUCAGGUAGGAAUACCCGCUGAACUUAAGCAUAUCAAUAAGCGGAGGA